CCUUCUCUAUCAAUUUUCCUUGCCUUGUAAACGGGCAUCAGCAGUGAGGCAACAAAAUCCACAACUGCCUGUUUAAUACGAUCUGCACCUUGGCGAUGACUUUUUUGUUGUUGCUUUUUUAAUGUAACCUGUGACAUUGAGCUCUCAUUCGCUUGUCCAUUAUUCUUCCUGGUGCGUGGUUUUGAACUUGUGUUUGAAUCCUCUUCAUCCUUCAUAUUCAUAGUUGGGCAGAAAAAAUCAGAAUCAGCAGCAGCUGCUUGAGAUUGCCA
Molecule: unclassified non-coding RNA, 269 nt
Filed under: Hevea brasiliensis (rubber tree)
Lineage: Eukaryota; Viridiplantae; Streptophyta; Magnoliopsida; Malpighiales; Euphorbiaceae
Source: RNAcentral